Centruroides sculpturatus (bark scorpion) is the source of this 734-nucleotide long non-coding RNA. RefSeq lists it as uncharacterized. The transcript has 3 exons. The record is from RefSeq and is a predicted model, not a curated record. NCBI's taxonomy places the organism in Eukaryota, Metazoa, Arthropoda, Arachnida, Scorpiones, Buthidae.
UCAUUAUGUAAUUCAGAAAAUUAUUUGGAAAAAAGAGUACUGAACAGCUCCAGUCUCUCCUACAUUAUAAAUAGCUGGAGAUUAAUGCACAAACAUUUCUUGGUUAGUUAUAUUUCCUGAAGGAACUCGUUUCAAUCCUGCAUCUGUGGAAAUUCUUAAUAAAAGCAGACAGUUUGCAGAGGAACAAGGUCUAUGUCCAUAUUCUCAUUUAUUAACUCCUAGAAUACGUGGCUUGCAGAUGGCAUUAGAUGGUCUUCGAAGUAAUUUGGAUGCAAUUUAUGAUGUAACUGUGGUAUAUUCCAACACUUUCAAUAAAGGAUUUCGUGUUAAGGCUCCUUCCAUGUUUGGUAAAGAUUAAUUUUUAUAUUAUAUUUUAAAUAUGAAUUGUAUUUUAUUGUUUGAAAUGAAAGCAGAAAAUUAUUUUCUGUUACUCUUUCUGCUCUAUAUGCCCUCCUAGUUUGCACAGGACAAAGAGUUAAAAAUAAAAAUAACAUCAUCCAUCAUAGGUUUGGCCAAGUCCACAUUGGGGAUGGCAGGUAGUGAGGGACAGAGCUUGACAUAUCUGGGAAAGACCACCCCAAAAAUUUCUGGAGCUUUUCAAUUGCUUAGAUUUAAUCCUGUGUCCUCCCAGAGCAGUAAGUUGACACUAAGCACUUCAGCCAUCUGGCUGAUGAAGCAGAAAAUGAUUAGAUUGUAUAUUAUAUACAGUCGAUCCCCCCUAUAACACGGUAGAU